This 484-nucleotide ribosomal RNA is filed under the name uncultured bacterium. RNAcentral's name for it is "partial 16S ribosomal RNA". It matches the Rfam family "Bacterial small subunit ribosomal RNA", at positions 30 to 507 of the family's 1533-position model. The record is from RNAcentral.
AUUGAACGCUGGCGGCAGGCCUAACACAUGCAAGUCGAGCGGAUGAAGGGAGCUUGCUCCUGGAUUCAGCGGCGGACGGGUGAGUAAUGCCUAGGAAUCUGCCUGGUAGUUUGGGAUAACGUCCGGAAACGGGCGCUAAUACCGCAUACGUCCUUAGGGAGAAAGGGGGGGAUCUUCGGACCUCACGCUAUCAGAUGAUCCUAGGUCGGAUUAGCUAGUUGGUGGGGUAAAGGCCUACCAAGGCGACGAUCCGUAACUGGUCUGAGAGGAUGAUCAGUCACACUGGAACUGAGACACGGUCCAGACUCCUACGGGAGGCAGCAGUGGGGAAUAUUGGACAAUGGGCGAAAGCCUGAUCCAGCCAUGCCGCGUGUGUGAAGAAGGUCUUCGGAUUGUAAAGCACUUUAAGUUGGGAGGAAGGGCAGUAAGUUAAUACCUUGCUGUUUUGACGUUACCAACAGAAUAAGCACCGGCUAACUUCGUG